This 582-nucleotide ribosomal RNA is filed under the name uncultured bacterium. RNAcentral describes it as "partial 16S ribosomal RNA". It matches the Rfam family "Bacterial small subunit ribosomal RNA", at positions 355 to 933 of the family's 1533-position model. The record is from RNAcentral.
UGGGGAAUUUUGGACAAUGGGGGAAACCCUGAUCCAGCCAUCCCGCGUGUGCGAUGAAGGCCUUCGGGUUGUAAAGCACUUUUGGCAGGAAAGAAACGUCGCGGGUUAAUACCCCGCGAAACUGACGGUACCUGCAGAAUAAGCACCGGCUAACUACGUGCCAGCAGCCGCGGUAAUACGUAGGGUGCAAGCGUUAAUCGGAAUUACUGGGCGUAAAGCGUGCGCAGGCGGUUCGGAAAGAAAGAUGUGAAAUCUCAGAGCUUAACUUUGGAACUGCAUUUUUAACUACCGGGCUAGAGUGUGUCAGAGGGAGGUGGAAUUCCGCGUGUAGCAGUGAAAUGCGUAGAUAUGCGGAGGAACACCGAUGGCGAAGGCAGCCUCCUGGGAUAACACUGACGCUCAUGCACGAAAGCGUGGGGAGCAAACAGGAUUAGAUACCCUGGUAGUCCACGCCCUAAACGAUGUCAACUAGCUGUUGGGGCCUUCGGGCCUUGGUAGCGCAGCUAACGCGUGAAGUUGACCGCCUGGGGGAGUACGGUCGCAAGAUUAAAACUCAAAUGAAUUGACGGGGGUCAUAGCGUU